GAAAUUUCAUUCGCACUAGUGAUAGCUAGUUUCCCAGGAAAGACAUAAAAGUGUCGUUGAAAUGAAUAAUUUAUAAUAUUAGUUAUUAUAUAUGUAUAUAUAUUUCACUGAUUUUUUUGAGGAUAAGCUCAAGAAAAAGUUAAGAUUUAUUUUUGAUUAAAUUUACUGUGUAGGUUUAAAAUUAACCACCAUAAAAGUUUUUUAUAAAAUAGUAAUACUAGUUCUGUAAAUAAAUAUAAUUUAAACUAACUUUUAUACUGGGACAAAAACUUUAAUUGAAAUAAGUUUUAUGCCUAUGCUAGAAUUAGUAUUAAAACUUAACUAUAAGAGAAAUUAUGUUUAUAUUUUCUUCAAAGGAAAAAAUUAAAAAAAUUAAUUAAUUAGAAGGAACUCGGCAAAUUUUGUUCCGCCUGUUUAUCAAAAACAUGGCUCUUUGGUUACAUAAAUAUAAAGAGUCGAGCCUGCCC
This 467-nucleotide ribosomal RNA is filed under the name Semisulcospira decipiens. RNAcentral's name for it is "partial 16S ribosomal RNA". The record is from RNAcentral. Lineage: Eukaryota; Metazoa; Mollusca; Gastropoda; Semisulcospiridae.